UGGGGAAUUUUGGACAAUGGGCGAAAGCCUGAUCCAGCAAUGCCGCGUGUGUGAAGAAGGCCUUCGGGUUGUAAAGCACUUUUGUCCGGAAAGAAAUCCUUGGCUCUAAUACAGUCGGGGGAUGACGGUACCGGAAGAAUAAGCACCGGCUAACUACGUGCCAGCAGCCGCGGUAAUACGUAGGGUGCAAGCGUUAAUCGGAAUUACUGGGCGUAAAGCGUGCGCAGGCGGUUUGCUAAGACCGAUGUGAAAUCCCCGGGCUCAACCUGGGAACUGCAUUGGUGACUGGCAGGCUAGAGUAUGGCAGAGGGGGGUAGAAUUCCACGUGUAGCAGUGAAAUGCGUAGAGAUGUGGAGGAAUACCGAUGGCGAAGGCAGCCCCUGGGCCAAUACUGACGCUCAUGCACGAAAGCGCGGGGAGCAAACAGGAUUAGAUACCCUGGUAGUCCACGCCCUAAACGAUGUCAACUAGUUGUUGGGGAUUCAUUUCCUUAGUAACGUAGCUAACGCGUGAAGUUGACCGCCUGGGGAGUACGGUCGCAAGAUUAAAACUCAAAUGAAUUGACGGGGUCAUAGCUGUUUCCU
RNAcentral lists this ribosomal RNA (584 nucleotides) under uncultured bacterium. RNAcentral's name for it is "partial 16S ribosomal RNA". It matches the Rfam family "Bacterial small subunit ribosomal RNA", at positions 355 to 1375 of the family's 1533-position model. The record is from RNAcentral.